RNAcentral lists this ribosomal RNA (497 nucleotides) under uncultured bacterium. RNAcentral describes it as "partial 16S ribosomal RNA". It matches the Rfam family "Bacterial small subunit ribosomal RNA", at positions 28 to 507 of the family's 1533-position model. The record is from RNAcentral.
GAUGAACGCUGGCGGCGUGCCUAAUACAUGCAAGUCGAGCGAACAGAUGAGGAGCUUGCUCCUCUGACGUUAGCGGCGGACGGGUGAGUAACACGUGGAUAACCUACCUAUAAGACUGGGAUAACUUCGGGAAACCGGAGCUAAUACCGGAUAAUAUAUUGAACCGCAUGGUUCAAUAGUGAAAGACGGUUUUGCUGUCACUUAUAGAUGGAUCCGCGCCGCAUUAGCUAGUUGGUAAGGUAACGGCUUACCAAGGCAACGAUGCGUAGCCGACCUGAGAGGAUGAUCGGCCACACGGGAACUGAGACACGGUCCAGACUCCAACGGGAGGAAGAAGAGGGGAAUCUUCGAAAAUGGGCGAAGGCCUGAGGGAGAAAGGCCGCGUGAGGGAAGAAGGUAUUCGGAUCAAAAAACUCUUUUAUUGGGAAAGAAAAAAAGUGAAGGAAAAACGACACGUUUUGACGGUACAAAAUAAAAAAGCACCGGAAAAAUACGUG